AUUCUCCGUACAUCUCUGUUUAUAAAUAAAUCACACGUGAUUUGAUUGACGUUAGGGUUAGGGUGAUUUAUUUAUAAACAGCUAGAAGAAAACGGAUAAUACUGCUUAUGGAAGAGAGAAAUCCAGGAAGUUAUGAGACAACAGUGAGCUCAAGCCUCUUAUUAAUCUUGGACAUCACAGUUAAUUACAAAGGAGCAGGAUAACUGAUGAUAUGCAGUUCUCAACAAGACUAAGAUUCUGGAAGCACAAUAUAUUAUAUAUACCUACAACAGAGCCCUCUUCCUCAAUUUCCUCCCCCAAGAAAUCCCUCCCUAACUGAAAUAUUCUGCUGCUGUAUUUAAAUAUAUCAUCAGAAAAAAAAGUAAUCAUAAUUCAUUAAAAUGACAGAUCUAUCGGACAUUCAAAGAGGUUAAAUUGUUGGUGCUUGUAUGGCAGGGCCUAGCGUAACGAAAACAACCGAAAUGUUUGCUGUCUCAAAAGUAAUGACAGCCUUUGAGAAAAAGGGAAAACCUCAUCAAAACAAGACUCCGGAAGAAAACCAAAACUGUCAGAUAGGGACUGUUGGACUCUUACACAAAUUGUUCGGAUUUCUUGGAAGGGCUGCAAUCAGAAAACCACUACUUUCAAAAACAAAUGUUGCAAAGCGUUUAGAGUGAAGUAAAAACCUACAGAACUGGCCCCCUAGAACAGUGGAAGAAUGUUAUUUUCUUGCACGAGUCAUCUUUUACCUUAUUUCCGACCACUGGCCGAGUAUAUGUGUGGAGACAGGCAAAAGAAGCAUUUGACCCAGACUGCCUUCUUCCAACUGUUAAACAUCAAGGAGGAUCUGUGAUGAUCGGGAAGGGGGAGGGGCUAUAUCUUGGAAAUCCGCCGGCCCAAUGGUUUCCCUUCAUGGCAGAAUUAAUAGUCAGGACUAUUUAAGUAUUUUAUCUGAUCAAGUUCAUCCUAUGGUUGCAGAACUGUUUCUGGAGGGAAACGCAAUCUUUCAGGAUGAUAAUGCACCAAUUCACACAGCUAAAGUUGUUACUGAAUGGCACAAGGAACAUUCUAGUGAAGUUGAACAUCUUAUCUGGCCACCAUAGUCCCCAGAUCUCAAUAUUAUUGAACAUUUAUGAUGCAUUUUAGAAAAUCAAGUAAGGAGUCAAUAUCCUCCACCAUCAUCACUAUAAGAACUGGAGACUGUUUUAGCUGAAAAAUGGACAAAAAUUCCUUUGGAAAUAAUUCAAACGUUGUACAAGUCCAUACCUCAUAGAAUUCAAGCUGUAAUUACUGCCAAAGGUGGUCCUACCCCAUAUUAAAAUAAAAUUUAUUUGAAAUUCUAA
Octopus bimaculoides (California two-spot octopus) is the source of this 1322-nucleotide long non-coding RNA. The record is from RefSeq and is a predicted model, not a curated record. NCBI's taxonomy places the organism in Eukaryota, Metazoa, Mollusca, Cephalopoda, Octopoda, Octopodidae.